This 497-nucleotide ribosomal RNA is filed under the name uncultured bacterium. RNAcentral's name for it is "partial 16S ribosomal RNA". It matches the Rfam family "Bacterial small subunit ribosomal RNA", at positions 28 to 507 of the family's 1533-position model. The record is from RNAcentral.
GAUGAACGCUGGCGGCGUGCCUAAUACAUGCAAGUCGAGCGAACAGACGAGGAGCUUGCUCCUUCGACGUUAGCGGCGGACGGGCGAGUAACACGUAGGUAACCUACCUAUAAGACUGGGAUAACUUCGGGAAACCGGAGCUAAUACCGGAUAAUAUUUCGAACCGCAUGGUUCGAUAGUGAAAGAUGGCUUUGCUAUCACUUAUAGAUGGACCUGCGCCGUAUUAGCUAGUUGGUAAGGUAACGGCUUACCAAGGCAACGAUACGUAGCCGACCUGAGAGGGUGAUCGGCCACACUGGAACUGAGACACGGUCCAGACUCCUACGGGAGGCAGCAGUAGGGAAUCUUCCGCAAAGGGCGAAAGCCUGACGGAGCAACGCCGCGUGAGUGAUGAAGGUCUUCGGAUCGUAAAACUCUGUUAUUAGGGAAGAACAAACGUGGAAGUAACUGUGCACGUCUUGACGGUACCUAAUCAGAAAGCCACGGCUAACUACGUG